GCGGAUAAAAAUAGGUCACCGUUAUCACGUGCUAUUUACAUUCACACGUCAUAGCACGUUGCCAUUAAAGAAUGUCAAUGUGAGUGAGGGAGAAGAAAUGGCAGAUGCCUGUAAAUUAUGAGAGAUCUAUACAUUAAAACAAUGGAUUCUGCUGAAGAAAGUGACACAGAGUCACAACUUGAAAAGUUUUCCUUUGGAUCAGGUGAUAGUGGUUUUUGUACUGAAGAACCUGUUGUUUCUUUAUCUCAUGACCCUGAAAAAAAGAAUAGAAGUGAAAAUAAAUCACCCAGCACAUGUAAUCAAACAACACCAUUAUCUCAUCAUAUGACAUCUGCAUCUGAACCAUCAACUCCAGUAUUAACCACCAUUAUCUCUAGUCCAGAGUACAUAGAUUAUGCAAACUCAUUACGAUCAAUACCAAAAACUAAGUCUAACGAUUUACCAAAAUCUAGUGUGUCAUCUUAUAUGAGUCUCAAAAGGAAAGUCAGUAUUGACAGUGUGUCAAGUAGCAAUCAGAAUUCUAAUGUAAAAAUCACAAAACCAGACUCAAGUGACUCUCAAAAUGUCAAACAAAAGCGCUUCAAUCGAACAGCAAAAGCGUUGAGGGAAUCAGGACUUCUUCCUAUAGCUAUUAAAACUGGUAAUCUAAUGAAAAAGAAUAUGAUUUUACAAAAAGAAAUUCAAAAUCUCAAAAAAGAGACAGCAUUGUUUUUACAGUCUGUUCAAGCAGAAGGAAGUGACAAUACAGAAGAAAGAAAACACUCUGGUUAAUGUGUCUCUUUAUAAACUUGCCUGUGUUGGUUUUCUAGCAGACAUUGUAAUCUUUGGUUUUCUGAAAUUGCUUUCAUAAUCAUAAUUACAUUUGUUUGAUAUUUGGAAAAUGAUUAGGAUCUUCAGCAAGGACAAGGAAGUCUAAUUACUCUUUGAGUAAUGAGCAUAAUAAAUUGAAACAACUAAGUGUCUAUUAUUAAGUUCUAUGCAAUUUUGUUAUUCAGAAAGCAAUAACAUUUUAUACAAAGACAAAAUAGGUAUUGCACAUAUUUACAGUAAUACAGAUUUUAACUAUUAACAUUAUUGAAAAUAAUUGCAAAAAUAAAAACAUCGCGAAAAUUAUGGCAAGUAAUAACCUGAUGAACUGUAUGUAAAUCUUAACAUACAGACAAGGGAAUCCAGGGAUUAAUGGUUCUGUAUGACAAAUGAUAUUUCUAUAAAAAAAACCCUGCUAAUUUGAUUGAAUAUCAUCAAUUUAUCUGAUGAAAUAAUUAUUGCAUGUAAAAUGCUGCACUAAGUGUCUCGCCUUGUUAGAUUAUAUAUCGAAAUUCUACAGAAAUAUAUCCUUGCAUGACCCCUAAUGUAUCCUAAAUGACAUUUUAUACAAAUGAGAUUUUAGCAAAUAAAACUGUUUCCUUUGUUA
Patella vulgata (common limpet) is the source of this 1414-nucleotide long non-coding RNA. RefSeq lists it as uncharacterized. The transcript has 4 exons. Lineage: Eukaryota; Metazoa; Mollusca; Gastropoda; Patellidae. The record is from RefSeq and is a predicted model, not a curated record.